AAAAAAUGAGAAAUUUUGCUAGACUAUUGACAUAGAUUAAAGUUUUCUGGUAUUGCAUGCCUAUUGUGUUGUAGCCGAAGUGUUUGUAAAUGCUGAUGGCUCGUUUAAGGGAGAAAAUUGAGUUUAAAAGAUCCUGUGGCCCCUCCUGUUCAUCAUUGGUAUCAGUGCAACAGCCCAGGUGGCAGCCUGACCCUUCAGUGCAGCAGGCGGGAUCAGACGGUUAUAUCAAGAUUUCGAAGCGGUCACCUAAGAACUAUGUUGUUCAGUAAUGGUUCAAGAGUUUUCCCUGUUUGCACUAAGUGUAACGACCAACAAGCUACUCCUGAACAUAUAUUUCAAUGCCUAAAUAUCUCUAAAGUUGACCUCUUUUCAGAUCCACUUUUUGUUACAGACUUGCUCAGAGUCUCUGGAGUCAUGGACUUGGUUUAGCUCCGCUAACCGUGUGGGCCAGCAACAGAGUUUAAAAAUAAAUGUGUUGUCUCUUUA
This is a non-coding RNA of Parasteatoda tepidariorum (common house spider), 486 nucleotides long. NCBI's taxonomy places the organism in Eukaryota, Metazoa, Arthropoda, Arachnida, Araneae, Theridiidae. The record is from RefSeq and is a predicted model, not a curated record.